CGUAGGUGGCGAGCGUUAUCCGGAUUUACUGGGCGUAAAGCGUGUGCAGGCGGGGGUACAAGUGGUGUAUGAAAUCGCUCGGCUAAACCGGGCGGGGUUAUGCCAGACUGUACUUCUGGAGUGCGAGAGAGGGGCAUGGAAUUCCGGGUGUAGUGGUGAAAUGCGUAGAGAUCCGGAGGAACCCCAGAGGCGAAGGCGGUGCCCUGGCUCGCAACUGACGCUCAGACACGACAGCAUGGGGAGCGAACGGGAUUAGAAACCCCGGUAGUCCAUGCCGUAAACGAUGCAAACUAGGCGCUGGCGGUCUCAACCCCGCCGGUGCCGCAGCUAACGCGAUAAGUUUGCCGCCUGGGGAGUACGGCCGCAAGGCUA
RNAcentral lists this ribosomal RNA (372 nucleotides) under uncultured organism. Its description in RNAcentral is "bacterial SSU rRNA". It matches the Rfam family "Bacterial small subunit ribosomal RNA", at positions 526 to 896 of the family's 1533-position model. The record is from RNAcentral.